AUAUGCCUUACCAAGUCACAGAUUCACAGAAUGGUUGAGGUUGGAAGGGACUUCUGGAGUUCAUCUAGUCCGAGGUUUCUUUCUGCCGAAGACUUGGUAUAUGCUUGGGCAAGGCUUCAGUAAGCAGCAACCAAAGGAGCAGGCAAAGGAUGAGCUAAGCUGAGCUGAUAUUAUGAUCCUUGAUCUUCAGGAGGGAAAUGACUCACACUAACUGGAGUGAAAAGAGAGCUUCUGGCUGACUGCCUUCAGUAUGAGAGAAAAGUGAGUUCCGGAUCUCAACAACUCUUAUUUCUUCUAUAA
This 300-nucleotide long non-coding RNA is filed under the name Struthio camelus australis. Its description in RNAcentral is "lncRNA (ENSSCUG00000019098.1)". Lineage: Eukaryota; Metazoa; Chordata; Aves; Struthioniformes; Struthionidae. The record is from RNAcentral.